RNAcentral lists this transfer RNA (73 nucleotides) under Canis lupus familiaris (dog). It matches the Rfam family "tRNA". Rfam says of the family: Transfer RNA (tRNA) molecules are approximately 80 nucleotides in length. The record is from Rfam by way of RNAcentral. RNAcentral also lists the same sequence under 1 other name. Lineage: Eukaryota; Metazoa; Chordata; Mammalia; Carnivora; Canidae.
GCCUAGCUGGUUCAGUUGGUGGAACAUGAGACUCUUGAUCUUGGGGUUUUAAGUUUGAGCCCCAAGCUAAGUG